This 253-nucleotide ribosomal RNA is filed under the name uncultured bacterium. Its description in RNAcentral is "partial 16S ribosomal RNA". It matches the Rfam family "Bacterial small subunit ribosomal RNA", at positions 524 to 776 of the family's 1533-position model. The record is from RNAcentral.
UACGAAGGGUGCAAGCGUUACUCGGAAUUACUGGGCGUAAAGCGUGCGUAGGUGGUGAGUUAAGUCUGUCGUGAAAGCCCCGGGCUCAACCCGGGAAUGGCCUUCAAGACUGUCGAGCUAGAGGACGAGAGAGGUGAGUGGAAUUCCCAGUGUAGAGGUGAAAUUCGUAGAUAUUGGGAAGAACACCGGUGGCGAAGGCGGCUCACUGGCUCGUUUCUGACGCUGAGGCGCGAAAGCGUGGGGAGCAAACAGG